AUGGAGACCAGGGAUCACCUCUUCUUUUCUUAUCCAUUCACCAUGUCAUUGAGACAGCAAACACUGCUUUGGAUUGGUGUAACUCAACCUAGCCUUCAAAGCUGGGAUCAAUACAUACAAUGGAUCAUAACCAUGGCUAAAGGCAGGACUACUCGAGCUCAUAGUAUCAAAAUGAUCAUGGCAGAAUUGUGUUAUAACAUUUGGUUAGAGAGGAAUUCAAGGUUGUUUAGGAAUGUGUCAAGCUCAUAUGGAC
Molecule: long non-coding RNA, 253 nt
Filed under: Nicotiana benthamiana
Lineage: Eukaryota; Viridiplantae; Streptophyta; Magnoliopsida; Solanales; Solanaceae
Description: long non-coding RNA (NBEN_LNC004109)
Source: RNAcentral